RNAcentral lists this ribosomal RNA (492 nucleotides) under uncultured bacterium. RNAcentral describes it as "partial 16S ribosomal RNA". It matches the Rfam family "Bacterial small subunit ribosomal RNA", at positions 29 to 507 of the family's 1533-position model. The record is from RNAcentral.
AGUGAACGCUGGCGGUAGGCGUAACACAUGCAAGUCGAACGGCAGCACAGUAAGAGCUUGCUCUUACGGGUGGCGAGUGGCGGACGGGUGAGGAAUACAUCGGAAUCUACUUUUUCGUGGGGGAUAACGUAGGGAAACUUACGCUAAUACCGCAUACGACCUACGGGUGAAAGCAGGGGAUCUUCGGACCUUGCGCGAUUGAAUGAGCCGAUGUCUGAUUAGCUAGUUGGCGGGGUAAAGGCCCACCAAGGCGACGAUCCGUAGCUGGUCUGAGAGGAUGAUCAGCCACACUGGAACUGAGACACGGUCCAGACUCCUACGGGAGGCAGCAGUGGGGAAUAUUGGACAAUGGGCGCAAGCCUGAUCCAGCCAUACCGCGUGGGUGAAGAAGGCCUUCGGGUUGUAAAGCCCUUUUGUUGGGAAAGAAAAGCAGCAGGUUAAUACCCCGCUGUUCUGACGGUACCCAAAGAAUAAGCACCGGCUAACUUCGUG